This 501-nucleotide ribosomal RNA is filed under the name uncultured bacterium. RNAcentral describes it as "partial 16S ribosomal RNA". It matches the Rfam family "Bacterial small subunit ribosomal RNA", at positions 30 to 523 of the family's 1533-position model. The record is from RNAcentral.
AUUGAACGCUGGCGGCAGGCUUAACACAUGCAAGUCGAGCGGGGGAAGGUAGCUUGCUACCGGACCUAGCGGCGGACGGGUGAGUAAUGCUUAGGAAUCUGCCUAUUAGUGGGGGACAACAUCUCGAAAGGGAUGCUAAUACCGCAUACGUCCUACGGGAGAAAGCAGGGGAGCUUCGGACCUUGCGCUAAUAGAUGAGCUUAAGUCGGAUUAGCUAGUUGGUGGGGUAAAGGCCUACCAAGGCGACGAUCUGUAGCGGGUCUGAGAGGAUGAUCCGCCACGCUGGGGCUGAGACACGGCCCAGACUCCGACGGGAGGCAGCAGUGGGGAAUAUUGGACAAUGGGGGGAACCCUGCUCCAGCCAUGCCGCGUGUGUGAAGAAGGCCUUAUGGUUGUAAAGCACUUUAAGCGAGGAGGAGGCUACUCUAGUUAAUACCUAGGGAUAGUGGACGUUACUCGCAGAAUAAGCACCGGCUAACUCUGUGCCAGCCGCCGCUGUAA